AAUCAUCUUUCGGGACUGAUUUGAAAGGAAGAAAAUACUCAUGCUGA
RNAcentral lists this small nucleolar RNA (47 nucleotides) under Sorex araneus (European shrew). RNAcentral describes it as "Small nucleolar RNA SNORD2 (ENSSARG00000019941.1)". It matches the Rfam family "Small nucleolar RNA SNORD2", at positions 16 to 63 of the family's 69-position model. Lineage: Eukaryota; Metazoa; Chordata; Mammalia; Eulipotyphla; Soricidae. The record is from RNAcentral.